Molecule: long non-coding RNA, 1030 nt
Organism: Oncorhynchus kisutch (coho salmon)
Lineage: Eukaryota; Metazoa; Chordata; Actinopteri; Salmoniformes; Salmonidae
Exons: 2
Source: RefSeq, a predicted model, not a curated record
CUACCCCAAGCCAACAGCCAGAAUGAUAUCACAACUUUAACCCAACCCCCAAGCCAACAGGUUAAUGAUAUCACAACUUUAACCCUACCCCCAAGCCAACAGCCAGAAUGAUAUCACAACUUUAACCCUACCCCCAAGCCAACAGGUUAAUGAUAUCACAACUUUAACCCUACCCCCAAGCCAACAGCCAGAAUGAUAUCACAACUUUAACCCUACCCCCAAGCCAACAGGUUAAUGAUAUCACAACUUUAACCCAACCCCCAAGCCAACAGGUUAAUGAUAUCACAACUUUAACCCAACCCCCAAGCCAACAGGUUAAUGAUAUCACAACUUUAACCCUACCCCCAAGCCAACAGGUUAAUGAUAUCACAACUUUAACCCAACCCCCAAGCCAACAGCCAGAAUGAUAUCACAACUUUAACCCUACCCCCAAGCCAACAGCCAGAAUGAUAUCACAACUUUAACCCUACCCCCAAGCCAACAGGUUAAUGAUAUCACAACUUUAACCCUACCCCCAAGCCAACAGGUUAAUGAUAUCACAACUUUAACCCUACCCCCAAGCCAACAGGGUAAUGAUAUCACAACUUUAACCCAACCCCCAAGCCAACAGCCAGAAUGAUAUUCACAACUUUAACCCAACCCCCAAGCCAACAGGUUAAUGAUAUCACAACAUUAACCCUACCCCCAAGCCAACAGGUUAAUGAUAUCACAACUUUAACCCUACCCCCAAGCCAACAGGUUAAUGAUAUCACAACUUUAACCCUACCCCCAAGCCAACAGGUUAAUGAUAUCACAACUUUAACCCAACCCCCAAGCCAACAGGUUAAUUAUAACUUUAACCCAACCCCCAAGCCAACAGCCAGGAUGAUAUCACAACUUUAACCCUACCCCCAAGCCAACAGGUUAAUGAUAUCACAACUUUAACCCUACCCCCAAGCCAACAGCCAGGAUGAUAUCACAACUUUAACCCUACCCCCAAGCCAACAGGUUAAUGAUAACUUUAACCCUACCCCCAAGCCAACAGGUUAAU